Oryctolagus cuniculus (rabbit) is the source of this 8629-nucleotide non-coding RNA. The record is from RefSeq and is a predicted model, not a curated record. NCBI's taxonomy places the organism in Eukaryota, Metazoa, Chordata, Mammalia, Lagomorpha, Leporidae.
CACGAUUUGAUUCCAUCCCCGGAAAGCUCGCUUUUACCCCCUGGCCACAGUAUCAGCCGCAAACGCCCCGGCUUGGCGUCCAAGGCCCUCCACAGCCUCACCCCACAACGCGUUCCUGCCUUUGUCCCCGGCCGCCCGCUCUGCGCCCCAAGUCUCCGGCUUCUUUAUGCAGGGGGCCGCCUGUCCUAGAACGUGCUCUUUCUCCCCGGAGAACCGUAGUGCACCCUCGAGAAGCAUCUCCAGUCCCCUUCCCAGGCAGCCCCAGGCCGUCUUCACACUCCAAGUUCCUUUAACUCUCCCCAAGGAAGCCCUGUGCUCCUCGGGAGCCCAGGGUGUCAGGUCACAGCCGUUAGCAGGUACAGGACACCGGACGACCACUCGAAACGCGCGGGGCUCCGCUGACCGGCCACUUGCUUACCGGAAGCUCUCUUUGUCCAAUCACAGAAGAAGGGCAAGUUGAGGGCGACGCCAGGAGUAAAGAUGGGAUCGUGGGCGCGCGCCCUUGUAGUUCGGCCUCCACGCGCAGAGCCACGCCCUCCUACGGUCCGCUCAACCGGUUCUUCCAAUAACGGAGAGGAAGGGCAACUGAACGCCAGGAGCUGAGAUGGCGUGCCGCAUCGCUCCGCGGUUCUCGGUAGUUGACUCUGGACUCCCCCUUUGUCUAACGUUGCAUCUUAAAGAGGAAGGGCGAGGCGAGGUCUGCACCUGUAGCAAACGUGGAGCCUGAAAGACAGUCUCGCACCUAGGAUCGCUUAGCUGGUACUUGGUGGGAGCUGUCCCGAGAGCCGUGACCCGCUGCUGUUGUGGCAAGGGGCAGGGCGGGCCGGUGCUUCGGCUUCCCGUCGUGGGCGUGUGCGGGAGCGCAGCCCUGGUACUAGGCCCGAUGGGGAGCGAGGGAGUUGCCCAGCAGCGACGAAGGUCACUGGGGGUUCCACGUAGCUAGGACUGUCUACCUGUACCGGCUGGACCCCGUUAUUUCCCUGAGCUUCAGCUGAGUAGAUGCCACCUUUUUCAGCCACUGGACAUAGAGGCAUCAUCAGUUGAGCAGCACUGGAACUCAUGUUGGAUGAAUGCAUCAUGCGUGACCCUAGAAACAGAUGCAGAAGAGCUGGUCAAGCUAGUAGGCCUCCAAACGAGGACGAGCCCCUGGCUCAGGGCCUGAGAAAGCAGUGGAAGAUGGCCCAAGUCCUUGGGCCCCUGCACCCACAUAGGAGACCUGGAAGAAGCUCCUAGCUUUGAAUCGGCCCAGCUCUUGCUGUUGCAGCCAUUUGGAGAGUGAACCAGCAGAUGGAAGACUUCUGUCUCUGCCUCUGCCUCUCUGUAACUCUGCUUUUCAAAGAAAUAAAUAAAUCUUAAAAAAAAAAAAAAAAAACAGCCAGAUUCCUUAGUUGAAUCAUAGAUGGGAACACUGAAAUCUUCGAAGGAAAUCCAUCUCUUUUUUUACAUUAUGUUCACCAGACUGAGAAGGUAAGGUGGAGUUUUGUAAAGGCCUGUGUGACUUUUUAAAAAGAUUAUUUAUUUAUAUAAAAGGCAGAGUUAUAGGGAGAAGGAGAAACCAAAGGGGGGGGGGGGAGAGAGAGAGAGAGAGAGAGAGAGAGAGAGAGAGAGAGAGAGAGAGAAGUCUUCCAUCUGCUAAUUCACUUCCCAAAUGGCUGCAAUAGCCAUUGCUGAGCCAGACCAAAGUCAGGAGCCAGGAGCUGCUUCUGGGUCUCAUGUGGGUGGCGGGCACAAGCACUGGGCCAUUUUCUGCUGCCUUACAGGUACGUUAGCCGAGAGCUGGGUUGGAAAUGGAGCAGCACAGACAUAAACUGGUACCCAUAUGGGAUGCCAGUGUCACAGGCAUCUGCUUAACCCCCUGUGCCACAAUGCCGGCCCCGACCUGUGUGAUUUUGUAGAGACCACUGACAUGACUGAAAGUCUGGCAGAAUGCUUCCUGAGGAGACUAAUAGUAUGGAGGUUAUCAAAGGAAGUCAUGUGUGGUUUUGGUUACCAGAGGGAGGGUGAUUAUAGCUCAUCAGGUGGUAAGGAUUUGUAACAUCUUUACCAAAGCCUUGUAUUUGCCCUCUAAGAUGUGGGAGCUGGACCCAGGCAUUAUUUGGUUUUGUGCAGUGGAACAAAUCACCCAACAUCCGGGUACUUUGAGCAAAGUCAUACUGUUAGAGCAUCCUCGGAAGCUGUCACUUCUUGGGUUGCUGCCUUCAUGUCUGAAUAACUGAGCUGAAUCCUGGGAGGAGGAGGAAAAGAAACAUCAGGAACAGUGUCAGGUGGAGCAAACUCAGUGUCUGAUUUUUUUCUAAGGCCAAGUCUGCAGUCAUCUUCAAUGUUUUGAAGAACAGAUAUCCACAGGGUCUAAAAGACCUGUAUUCAAUCACGUUUGACUGAAUGGUGAUGAUGAUGAGUAUUGACUGUCUCUUUUCAAAUCUCAAGUCUUGCAUCAGGGUGAUACUGACCUCAUUUACUUGUCUAGUGAAACCAACUGUGUUAUACAGACACUCCUGACAAUGAGGAAUAGUAGGGACCUGGGUUUUGUGUCCAUGUAAAAUGAAGUAAAGUGUUGGAAUAAAAAACUCAACCACCACCCCUUCCCCUAGUUGUAUGGCCAAGAAGUUUUCUACAGUGUCUUCACAGUCCUGGAUUUCCGGUAGAACCACACUCUCUUCCUGAACCAUGUAACUUCUUAACGGCAGCAGCAGCUGUUCAGGUGCCUUCUCUAGAUUGUUGUUCAGGCCUUCAACCCAAGCAGCUUGUAUUUGCUAAACAGUGACAAGUCUGAGGCAGCACUCUUAGGCUUUCAAGGAGGAUUGUCCCUGUGUAGACAAGUACAGAAAACAGCUGCAGAGUUGAAUGGCGAGUUGAUGUUCCCAGGCAGGAGCAGCCGAAUAAUACUCUUGCGUUGAAGCACUCAAAGCUCAUCUUCUGUCCCAGUGUUCAUGCAGCCGGUAUGAACCCCUCCCUCAUGGCCCACCUCAGGGUUAGAGAGGAUCAGAAUCUGACAGAGGCAAUCUGGAAGGGAGCAAGGGGUUGCUAGGCUGGUCCUUACGUGUAUUUCCCAGGGCGUCGGAGGUGAUGUGCGUCAGGUCUUGGAUGACUGAGCCAGGCACACACUGACGGCAUGACUGGAACACAUCCCGUGUUGCUAAGCUUGUGUACUAGCACUUGGAACUUGUCAUGGGCAGAUAUGUCUGCUGAAUAUGGUUUUGGGUUUUUCUGUUUUUCCUAUGUAAUUGGAACUUGUAUUACUUAUAUUCUUCUGAGGAAAGUGGAUCCUGUGAAACUUUACUGCAGUGAGGUUGAGGGAUAGAUGUGUAGAGACAGGCAUGAGAGCUUGAUACCUUUAAGCCCAAUCACUGUGCUCCAGUAAACUGUCGUGUGCUGUUCUGAGUGCAAGCGGCGAGUUAAGUUUUCUUUACUUUCUGUUGUUGCAACAUAAAACUUUCCAAGAAACCCAAGGCCACUUUUUAAAAAGCAGAAAUAUCUGGUAUAGAAUCAUCCUAGUUCCUUUUUGUCCUGACAAUGGGUGGGAUAGGGAGGUGGACUUCACAGAGAAGGGAAGAGAGACAAAACAGAAAGAUGCUUGUGUGGGGAGCGGGUAUACAAAUUCAGCUGUUGCAUCUGGCUCUCUGGAAGAGAGGCAGUGUGGUUUGCUGGAAGAAAUAUAAGACUGCUUGGUCAGAUCCCUCCUGCAUUCCCCUCUGGCUCUCUGAAGUGGGAGCAUUAUCUAACCUCUUUAAUCUCCUUUCCUCUGUGAAAUGGGGUUUAAAAGCUUUUUUUAUUUUCUUCAAGAUUUUUGGAAGGAUAAUACAAAUUGAAAAAUGUGGAAAAUACAUUUUAAAUAAGGGUGCAUAUGUUGUUUACUACCAUGGUGCUGAGAAAUUUGUGAUGAGACCAUUUUCCACUGAUUGAUUUAUUUAGCAAGCUUCCACAUAUACAAUGAUCAUACCUGUCAUUUUUUGGACACUGUUUUUGUGUGUUUGCCUCUGUGUUAAGAAGGCUGUUGGGUUGAUAACACAGCCUCUCCUUCAUAACACCCCAGCCUGUGAGAGAACUCUGGUCAGCUCAGUGCCAUGAAUUCACCAGACAAGGGCUGGGCUCGGUAGCUCACCUGCCCUUCCCUCAGAAGAGCUGGGUCUGGUUUGUGUCUGUCCCCGUUCUUAUUAAAACCCAGGAAUGAAAACUUUUCCUUGGUGGACCAGCAGGGCUAGGGAACCACAGGACAGGACCCCACUUUGUGAUGGGGCAGUGUUGAAUGGACUGGUACUAGUUAUGCUCUAAUGGAACUCACAAAGUUUGUGUUGUCUGCUGGGGAAAAUUAUGGCAGAGAUGCUGGGGGCUUUAUAGGGGGUGUGCGGGGGGUGGUUGAGAUCCCAGGGCAAUGUUGGUUCUUCUGCACCGAUGCACAGAGUCACUUCUUUUUUUUUCUUUUUUCUUUUUGAUAGGCAGAGUGGAUAGUGAGAGAGAGAGACAGAGAGAAAGGUCUUCCUUUUGCCGUUGGUUCACCCUCCAAUGGCUGCCACGGCUGGCGCACUGCGGCCUGCACACUGCGCUGAUCCGAAGGCAGGAGCCAGGUGCUUCACCUGGUCUCCCAUGCGGGUGCAGGGCCCAAGCACUUGGGCCAUCCUCCACUGCACUCCCGGGCCACAGCAGAGAGCUGGCCUGGAAGAGGGGCAACCAGGACAGAAUCUGGCGCCCCAACCGGGACUAGAACCCGGUGUGCCGGCGCCGCAAGGCGGAGGAUUAGCCUAGUGAGCCACGGCGCCAGCCAGAGUCACUUCUGUAAAGGGACAGAGACACUCAGGAUGGCCUGUAGAGAAAGUACUUAUGAUAUCUUGGAUGGUCUAAUACUCCUGCACCUUGGAAUUCUUUGACCUACUGUAUCUUCUCAUUGUUUUGUCGCAAAGUUCUCAUGAGGUGGGAAAAUGACUGUGAUAGGAGACUGGAUGAUGAUGUCAGAAGACAGUCUCGGUGGUGUUCUUGAUACUCACCGACUGAGUGAGUCUGGGCAAGUUACUUACCUUCUAAACCCCAGCUUCUCAAUGAUAAAAUAGGAAUGAUUAUACUGCAGUUGUUGAAUUGUUCAUGUAAAGUGUCUGAUGGUAAAUAUUAUAGAUGUUGACAGUUGCAAUGAUUAAACUCUGCCAUUUUAGUGCAAGCAACCAGUGAUGAUAUAAAUAUGUAUGUGGCUGGGUUCCAAUAAAACUUAUUUACAAAAAUAAGCAAUGGGCUGCAAUUGACCCAUGGACCAUCAUUUUCUAAAUCCAGGUUUAGAUGAAGUCCUUAUUUUAUCAUAGAAUUGGUCCUCAAUUAGUCUCUGUAACAUGAAUAAUCAUCUAUUAAAUGUUAAGUAUGUGUGGCAGGUGGGAGUCCUAAUUGUUUUGGAUACAUUCUCAUUUAAUCAUUGUGGUAAUUCUUGGGGAGAUCACAUAAUUAUUGCCAUUUUUCCAGUGAGGUAUUUGAGGCUCAGAAAGCUAAAUCUCCUGUUCAGUGCCACACAGUUGGUUGAUAAAACUCAUAAUUGUUUCUUAAUCUUGAGGUUUUCAAUCACUUAGUUCUCAUUAUCAUGUUUAUUAUGUCCUGCAAGAACAAUACACUAUUUGGCAUGAACUGUGACUCAUUUAUCUGUUGAGAAAAAUCUUUUACCAUUGCACAUCUGAUGCCCUUUGUGCUUUUGUGAGACAAUCAUCAGGGCCAGGAGCAGACUGAGCCCAGACCCAGAUCUCUUGAUCCUGAAGGAAAUGAUGAUAGAUACUUGUGUUUCUAAGAACAAAACAAGGACCAGUGUUGUGGUGCAGUGUGUUACCCUGCUGCUCAUGAUGCUGGCAUCCCACAUCAGACCACUGGUCCACGGGUUUUCCUCUCCUGCACUCAAGAACAGAUAACUAGAUUUGGCUCUUGCUAAUGAUUACCGUCUCCAGGACUGAUACUGAUGGCCUGAUAUUUAACCAUGACCUUGAACUCCUCUUGUUUCUUUUCAGUAAGCAGAGGAAAUGUGGUGUUUGCUGUUGUUGUUGUUGUUUUAUAAUACACACAGCGCUGGCCCCAGGGAUCAUUCUUUUGAAUCCAUUUUCAGGCAUUUCAUCAAUCUCUCUGUCUUCACAUUCUGAUAUUGAAGUGUUGAGUUCCUCUUGGAUUGGGGAGUCAUUUUGUCUUCCUUGUUCUUUUUUUUUUUUUUUUUUUUUUUUUUUUUUUGACAGGCAGAGAGGACAGUGAGAGAGAGAGACAGAGAGAAAGGUCUUCCUUUACCAUUGGUUCACCUUCCAAUGGCUGCUGCGUCCGGCGCACCACGCUGAUCUGAAGCCAGGAGCCACGUGCUUCUCCUGGUCUCCCAUGGGGUGCAGGGCCCAAGCACUUGGGCCAUCCUCCACUGCACUCCCGGGCCAUAGCAGAGAGCUGGCCUGGAAGAGGGGCAACCGGGACAGAAUCUGGCGCCCCGACCGGGACUAGAACCCGGUAUGCCGGCGACGCAGGUGGAGGAUUAGCCUAUUGAACCACGAUGCCAGUCGUCUUCCUUGUUCUUGUUUUUUGUAAUUCUGCAUUUAUUUUUAGGUGUUUGUGGAAACACUUUUUUUCUUUUUUUUUAAAAGAUUUAUUUAUUUAUUUGAAAGUUGGAGUUACACGAAGAGAGGAGAGGCAGAGAGAGAGAGAGGUCUUCCAUCCGCUAGUUCACUCCCCAGAUGGCUGCAACAGCUGGAGCUGCGCUGAUCUGAAGCCAGGAGGUUCUUCCAGGUCUCCCAUGUGGGUGCAGGGACCCAAGGACUUGGGCCAUCUUCUACUGCUUUCCCAGGCCAUAGCAGAGAGCUGGAUUGGAAGUGGAGCAGCUGGGUCUUGAACCGGCGCCUGUUUGGGAUGCUGGCACUUCAGGCCAGGGCUUUAACCUGCUGCGCCACAGCGCCAGCCCCAACACUUUGUUUUCCACUGAUGGCUUUAUUAAUUUAAUAUUUAUUUAUUUAUUUGAAAGGCAGAGUUAUAGAGAGGCAGACACAGAGAGAGAGGUCUUCAGCUGCUGGUUCAUUCCCCAGAUGGCUGCAACAGCUGGAUCUGUGCCCAUUCAAAGCCAGGAGCUUCUUCCAGGUCUCCCAUGCAGGUGCAGGGCCCAAGGACUUGGGCCAUCUUCCACUGCUUUUCCAGGCCAUAGCAGAGAACUGGAUCAGACAUGGAGCAGCCCAGAAUUUGACCCGGUGCCCAUAUCGGAUGCUAGCAGUGCAGGCAGCAGCUUUCCCACUGCGCCACAGCGCAGGCCCCUACUGAUGGCUUUUUUCCUUGAACUGCACCUCUGUGUCUUAGGUAGAGUGAAUGCUCCUUCAGUGGAUAUUCAGAGGGCUGUGCUAGGUGAGUCCAGGGGGCUCUGGUUGGUGCCCAAGGGUAGGGCAGGAGCCCAGGGUGACAUCCAAGUUGGGCAUGGUAGAUUCUUCUAUGGUCAGCAGGGGGCAGGGUAUGAUCCCAUCUGUUGGCAUAAUCACAGUAUCACCUUCUGUCUUCCAAAGUAAUCAAUGCCUGGAGUUAGUCCGCAGUGGCUACCAUCCCCUCUCACAUAGGGGCAUGAGCCACACAGAGUACCUGGUUUGAGCAUAGAACCCUCUGCAAUGACCCAUCUCAGGCUGUAGGGGAACUCUGAACCUCUGAAGCCAGAUACAGUGAUUUCCCAGAGACGCAGCCAUAGGCUGUGGUACAGUCACAGAAUUCUCAGUCAUAGUGUGCAGGGCUCCUGCAGUCACAGGGUAGAGGUCCACUCUCAGCUCUGUGAGCCUGCCCCAUCCACAGAGAGCAGAGGCGCUCCCAGAGCCUGCUGCCUGUGGGUGGUCCACCUGGGCAGGUUGAGCCCUGGAGCCUGUGAUAGAGUAAGUUAAGGGAGUACCUCACAGUCCUAAGUGGUUGCCCAGUCUUCUGCCAACCCUUCAGUCCAGACUUAAAGUCAGUAGGGAAUGUGGAUUUAUCCCUCUGAUAAAAUCCCCUAGAUGAACAUGUGUGUGAGCCUCUACUUGUAUUAAAAUGGCAUUUUCUCCCUGCUGGUUGCUGGGUGCCCUUGUCGGGGAAUGGGGAAAAAGAAAUGUGCUCUCCCUUCGUGGGGUUCGGAGAGUUCCUUACUCCCCAUCCCUCCCCGUACCCCCGGGCUCCAGGCCAGACUCAGAGUCAGUGUGGUGCACAGGAUUCUCCCUCAGGAUGUGUCACCAACGACAUGGAAUGCUGCAGUCUGCUUUGACCUCACUCUCUGAAAAUGGCAUCUCCUCCAGUCCCUGGCUGCGGGAGUCAUGGGUCAUGUCCGCACUCGCUGCUGCCUGUUUGUCCUGCCCAUGCUGCUCUGCGGUAUCUUCCUUCUUUCCAGCUCUACCCUAGGAAUCUUCCCCUGGUCAAAAUCAGCACAUCUGUUCCCUAUUCAACCAUCUUGAAUCCCCCAAACUUCUUAUUUCAUCUGGAAAUUGUUCAGCAAGUAGCUGAACACUAAGGAUUCUUGGGAGGAAAAAAUCCACAAUACUGUUAUCUCAACUGAACAAGAAUUAAUGAUCAAACAUUCAGAUUUCCAAUUGUUUCAUCAUUUUAUAAUGCUGAUAAUAUUUUUGAACUAAUUUUUGAAUUAAUGAUCCCCCCUCCCCCCAGUAUUUUCAUUAGUAAAAAAGGAAAAAAAAAAAAAAAA